UGUGGGCUCUAGGAACGCAGUUCAAGUCAUCAGGCUUGUCAACGAGCACCUCAGCUUUCACUGGACCAUAAUGUAGCCCCAAAUUUGUUUUGCUUUGUUUUAUUUUUCAAGACAGGGUUUCUCUAUGUCUGUCUUGGAACUCACACUAUAGACCAGACUGGCCUCCAACUCAGAGAUCCACCUGCCUCUGCCUCCUGAGUGCUGGGACUAAGAUUGUGUGCUACCAAGGGCAGCUUUUGAUUUUGUUGUUGUUAUAUAAUAUUUUUAUUUUAUAAGUCUUUUGCUUCCAUGUAUCUCUGUGUACUUGCAUGUGUAUGCACUAUGCCUGUGGAGGCCAGUAGAGGGCGCCAGAUCCCCUGGAGCUGGAGUUAGUUGACAGCUGCCAUGUGGGUGCUGGGAACAGAUCCUGGGUCCUCUGCAAGAGCAGCCCGUGCUCCUGACCACUGAGCCGACUCUGCAGCUUCCCAUUAUUUUUAUUUUAUUUUGGGGAGAGUGUUUCCAGACAGGAUUUUUCUGUGUUUCUCUGACUGUCCUGAAACUUGCUCAGUAGACCAAGAUGGCUUCAAACUCAGAUCCACCUGCCUCUGUCUCCUGAGCACUGGGAUUGAAAGGCUGUGCCACCGCCCCUUCCUGGCUUUGUUUUUGAAGUGUUAGGCAGGGUCUCACUGUCGUCACUCUCAGCAGUCCUUCUGCCAUUAGAGGGCUGGCUCUCAGGUGUGUGCCCCCACCCUGGCUUAGCUGUUUAUUUUGGGUCUCUCCUACCUCAGACUUCCUCACAGCUAGAAUCAACCCUUGCCUGGUUAAAAAGUAAUACUUUCUGGGCUUGGAGAGCUGGCUCUGUGACUAAGAGCACUGGCUGCUCUUGCAGAGGACCCAGGUCCAAUUCCCAGUACCCACGUGGUGACUCACAGCCAUCUGUAAUCCAGUUCCAGGAGAUCUGGUGCCCCUGGGACCAGACCAGUGACACCAGAGCAGGCACAAAUGUGCCCAGACACACAUGCAGGAAAAACACUGAUACAUGUAAAAUAAAAGUUUUUAACAAUUA
This 1045-nucleotide long non-coding RNA is filed under the name Rattus norvegicus (Norway rat). RNAcentral describes it as "long non-coding RNA NONRATT011880". The record is from RNAcentral. Lineage: Eukaryota; Metazoa; Chordata; Mammalia; Rodentia; Muridae.